Molecule: ribosomal RNA, 603 nt
Filed under: Antennella confusa
Lineage: Eukaryota; Metazoa; Cnidaria; Hydrozoa; Leptothecata; Halopterididae
Description: partial 16S ribosomal RNA
Source: RNAcentral
CCUUAGUAUCUGCUGCAACACUAGGAUAACUUAAUUCAACAUCGAGGUGUCAAACUUUAUUUUUAAUAUCAUCUCUCAAAUAAAAUUAACCUGUUAUCCCUGAAGUAACUUUUAUUUAUUUAUUAUCUCAUAAAAUUUUAUAGUAUAAAGAUAGGUCAUUAUAUCUAAAUUAUAAUUGUUAAAUUUAUAAAUUAAACAAUAAAUAAUAAUAUUAUUUUAAUAUACAUUUUUUAAUUUUAAAAUGUUGUUGCCCCAACCAAACUACCCAAUUAAUAAAUCUAGUGCUAAUAUAAUUGCGUAUAUUAGCAUAAAUUAUUAAUAUAUAUAGUUAAGCUUUACAGGGUCUUUUCGUCUUACAAUUUUAAAUAGCUUCUUCACUAUUAUAUUAAUUUCAAUAUAUUAUAAAUAAGACAGUGGAAAUUUCGUUCAAUCAUUCAUCUACGUUCAACAAUUAAUUGACUAAUUAUUUUCCUACAUUAUCACCGUCAAGAAUACAGCGGCCGUUUAAUUAUAAGUUAAUAAUAUAUUAUUAUGCUGUAUAAUCACUGGGCAGAUUACACUUUUUACUUUCUUAAAAAAGAUAUGUUUUUGGUAAACAGUCGA